AGUGAACGCUGGCGGCGUGCUUAACACAUGCAAGUCGAACGAGAACGGAAUAUAGCUUGCUAUAUUUGUCAGCUAAGUGGCGCACGGGUGAGUAAUGUAUAGAUAACCCGCCCUUAAGAAAGGAAUAACAGUUGGAAACGACUGCUAAUGCCCUAUAUGCCUUUAAUACAUAAGUAUGCAAGGGAAACGCUUUAGUGCUUAAGGAUGGGUCUGUAUGGUAUCAGCUUGUUGGUGAGGUAAUGACUCACCAAGGCUAUGACGCCUAACUGGUUUGAGAGGAUGAUCAGCCACACUGGAACUGAGACACGGUCCAGACUCCUACGGGAGGCAGCAGUGGGGAAUAUUGCACAAUGGACGAAAGUCUGAUGCAGCAACGCCGCGUGGAGGAUGACACAUUUCGGUGCGUAAACUCCUUUUAUAUAGGAAGAUAAUGACGGUACUAUAUGAAUAAGCACCGGCUAACUCCGUGCCAGCAGCCGCGGUAA
Molecule: ribosomal RNA, 485 nt
Filed under: uncultured bacterium
Lineage: Bacteria
Description: partial 16S ribosomal RNA
Rfam family: Bacterial small subunit ribosomal RNA
Source: RNAcentral